CCUACGGGAGGCAGCAGUGGGGAAUAUUGCACAAUGGGCGCAAGCCUGAUGCAGCAACGCCGCGUGAGGGACGACGGCCUUCGGGUUGUAAACCUCUUUUAGUAGGGAAGAAGCGAAAGUGACGGUACCUGCAGAAACAGCACCGGCUAACUACGUGCCAGCAGCCGCGGUAAUACGUAGGGUGCAAGCGUUAUCCGGAAUUAUUGGGCGUAAAGAGCUCGUAGGCGGUUUGUCGCGUCUGCUGUGAAAACUGGAGGCUCAACCUCCAGCCUGCAGUGGGUACGGGCAGACUAGAGUGCGGUAGGGGAGAUUGGAAUUCCUGGUGUAGCGGUGGAAUGCGCAGAUAUCAGGAGGAACACCGGAUGGCGAAGGCAGAUCUCUGGGCCGUAACUGACGCUGAGGAGCGAAAGCAUGGGGAGCGAACAGGAUUAGAUACCCUGGUAGUCCAUGCCGUAAACGUUGGGAACUAGAUGUAGGGACCAUUCCACGGUUUCUGUGUCGCNGCUACGCAUACGUUACCCGUCCGUCGGGUAGGUACGGCCGCGACGACGUAACGUACGAAGAAGUAGUAGCGNGUAGAGACGCGACGACGACGACGACGGAGGAGG
RNAcentral lists this ribosomal RNA (608 nucleotides) under uncultured bacterium. RNAcentral describes it as "bacterial SSU rRNA". The stretch from base 1 to 524 matches the Rfam family "Bacterial small subunit ribosomal RNA", at positions 338 to 873 of the family's 1533-position model. The record is from RNAcentral.